GCUUAACACAUGCAAGUCGAACGGAAUCCAUGGUGUAGCAAUACACCGGAAGAUUUAGUGGCGAACGGGUGAGGAUCACGUGAGAAACCUGCCCCAGACUUUGGGAUAACAAUUGGAAACGAUUGCUAAUACCGAAUGACGUCGGAGAACCGCAUGGUUCACUGACGAAAGGAAAUCCGGUUUGGGAGGGUCUCGCGGCCUAUCAGCUUGUUGGUGGGGUAAUGGCCUACCAAGGCAACGACGGGUAGCUGGUCUGAGAGGAUGAUCAGCCACACUGGGACUGAGACACGGCCCAGACUCCUACGGGAGGCAGCAGUGGGGAAUCUUGCGCAAUGGGCGAAAGCCUGACGCAGCAACGCCGCGUGCGGGAUGAAGGCCUUCGGGCUGUAAACCGCUUUCAGCAGGAACGAAAAUGACGGUACCUGCAGAAGAAGGAGCGGCCAACUACGUGCCAGCAGCCGCGGUGACACGUAGGCUCCAAGCGUUGUCCGGAUUUAUUGGGCGUAAAGAGCUCGUAGGCGGUUUAGUAAGUCGGGUGUUAAAACUCUGGGCUCAACCCGGAGAGGCCAUCCGAUACUGCUGUGACUUGAGUUCAGGAGGGGAGCGGGGAAUUCCUAGUGUAGCGGUGAAAUGCGCAGAUAUUAGGAGGAACACCGGUGGCGAAGGCGCCGCUCUGGACUGAAACUGACGCUGAGGAGCGAAAGCAUGGGUAGCAAACAGGAUUAGAUACCC
RNAcentral lists this ribosomal RNA (732 nucleotides) under uncultured Actinomycetes bacterium. RNAcentral describes it as "bacterial SSU rRNA". It matches the Rfam family "Bacterial small subunit ribosomal RNA", at positions 46 to 787 of the family's 1533-position model. The record is from RNAcentral. Lineage: Bacteria; Bacillati; Actinomycetota; Actinomycetes.